Molecule: long non-coding RNA, 557 nt
Organism: Papaver somniferum (opium poppy)
Lineage: Eukaryota; Viridiplantae; Streptophyta; Magnoliopsida; Ranunculales; Papaveraceae
Exons: 3
Source: RefSeq, a predicted model, not a curated record
UCCAUUCUUCUUUCUUCCUAUCUUCUGUUCUUCUUUCCCUCUCUGUCGAACUUGGUUCAUAAGAAUUAGGUUGCUUUCGUGUGAAAUAUUCAUAGAAACUUGUUAAUAAGUUGAAUCGAAAGUGGAAAUGUUAUUUCUGUGGUGGAAUUAGAUCGGGGGGAGAAGAAUAAGAUGAAGUAGAUGUUGAAUUGAGGUUAGGGUUCUUGUAGAACUGUUGAUGAUAAAGUGACGUUAUGGAACGAAGAAUCGAGGGGUCGUUAUUGAAUUGAAGAGGUGAAGUUUCUCUGGUGUUGGAUCGAACAGGAAAAGUUAGUCUACAUUAACAACGACCGAUUCAAAAGAUGAACAAGUGGAUUCUGGAUUUCAAGGUAGGAGGUGGUUUGCCUUCAAAACAGUUUCAGUAAUCAGAAGGAAUGAAGCGUGCGAAGAUAUACGUUUUCGUAGCUUAGUGCUCUACCGAAUAUAGUGUUGGCGUGUAUAUGUAUUAUAUGUAUUUUUUCCUUAUCCUGUAAAACAACACAUUUAUAUAUUUAUAUAACAUGAGAGACUUUCAAACA